This 77-nucleotide transfer RNA is filed under the name Armatimonadota bacterium. Its description in RNAcentral is "Armatimonadetes bacterium (sediment metagenome) tRNA-Asp". It matches the Rfam family "tRNA". From Rfam's summary of the family: Transfer RNA (tRNA) molecules are approximately 80 nucleotides in length. Their secondary structure includes four short double-helical elements and three loops (D, anti-codon, and T loops). The record is from RNAcentral. Lineage: Bacteria; Bacillati; Armatimonadota.
GCGGGCGUAGCUCAGUUGGUCAGAGCGCCGGCCUGUCACGCCGGAGGCCGCGGGUUCAAGUCCCGUCGUCCGCGCCA